Molecule: ribosomal RNA, 468 nt
Filed under: uncultured bacterium
Lineage: Bacteria
Description: partial 16S ribosomal RNA
Rfam family: Bacterial small subunit ribosomal RNA
Source: RNAcentral
GACGAACGCUGGCGGCGUGCUUAACACAUGCAAGUCGAACGGAAAGGCCCUGCUUUUGUGGGGUGCUCGAGUGGCGAACGGGUGAGUAACACGUGAGUAACCUGCCCUUGACUUUGGGAUAACUUCAGGAAACUGGGGCUAAUACCGGAUAGGAGCUCCUGCUGCAUGGUGGGGGUUGGAAAGUUUCGGCGGUUGGGGAUGGACUCGCGGCUUAUCAGCUUGUUGGUGGGGUAGUGGCUUACCAAGGCUUUGACGGGUAGCCGGCCUGAGAGGGUGACCGGCCACAUUGGGACUGAGAUGCGGCCCAGACUCCUACGGGAGGCAGCAGUGGGGAAUAGUGCGCAAUGGGCGGAAGCCUGAUGCAGCAACGCCGCGUGCGGGAUGACGGCCUUCGGGUUGUAAACCGCUUUCGCCUGUGACGAAGCGUGAGUGACGGUAAUGGGUAAAGAAGCACCGGCUAACUACGUG